This 546-nucleotide long non-coding RNA is filed under the name Homo sapiens (human). RNAcentral describes it as "HSALNT0010568". Lineage: Eukaryota; Metazoa; Chordata; Mammalia; Primates; Hominidae. The record is from RNAcentral.
GGCAAGUUUCUGCAGUAAAGGAAGAGGCGCACUGGAGAUAUUAGAAGGCAGGCAACAUUGACUUCUCUAUCCAGUGCUGACGCCCCCUUCACAUUUCCCGAGGUGAGGUUCUUUUGGGUCUGGUAGCCCCGCUGGCCUAGAGGUCAACAUUGACACUGUUUACACUCGGAAUACAGCGAAGGGACUGGCAGGAAAACCACUGAGAAACAUUAAUGAUGCAAGGCUGGUAUUGCAGAAGAAAACUAAGGCUGUGAUCUGCAAAAAUCUAACAUGGAACUCGAUCUCAGCCAGGUUUCGAAAACCUGGGUAUUCUCUUUUUCGAAGUUGAAAGCAACUUUUUAGGAGAGAGAAGCCUUAACAGGAGUUUGUGUCCUCUCUGCAAGGCUGGGUGAUGGGCAGCUGAAAAAGCGUCGAGGCUCAAGAUGAAUGAAAUAAGAACUUCAAGUUCAGUCCUUAAAUCCUAUUUGAACCUGAGGUCCUUGCUAAGGCUGUUGGGUAAGAUCGCUAAGUGCCCAUACUCCCACCUCUCUCUCCCUGUACUCAGAA